This 76-nucleotide transfer RNA is filed under the name Wenzhouxiangella sp. XN201. Its description in RNAcentral is "tRNA-Thr". It matches the Rfam family "tRNA". Rfam says of the family: Transfer RNA (tRNA) molecules are approximately 80 nucleotides in length. Their secondary structure includes four short double-helical elements and three loops (D, anti-codon, and T loops). Further hydrogen bonds mediate the characteristic L-shaped molecular structure. tRNAs have two regions of fundamental functional importance: the anti-codon, which is responsible for specific mRNA codon recognition, and the 3' end, to which the tRNAs corresponding amino acid is attached (by aminoacyl-tRNA synthetases). tRNAs cope with the degeneracy of the genetic code in two manners: having more than one tRNA (with a specific anti-codon) for a particular amino acid; and 'wobble' base-pairing, i.e. permitting non-standard base-pairing at the 3rd anti-codon position. The record is from RNAcentral. Lineage: Bacteria; Pseudomonadati; Pseudomonadota; Gammaproteobacteria; Chromatiales; Wenzhouxiangellaceae.
GCCGGCUUAGCUCAGGUGGUAGAGCGGCUGAUUUGUAAUCAGUAGGUCGGGAGUUCGAAUCUCUCAGCCGGCACCA